AAGAGGCUGUGGAGGCUGGAAUCUAGGGCAAAAUAAAAAAAAUCUGCUGUUAGAUUGGGCAGUAACUGUGGAGGAAUAGGGAUGGUCAACAUUUUAGGUCAAGACCCUGCCUCAGGACUGGAGUACCCUCUGUAUCACAGCACAAGACAUUGGACAGACCAUACUCUGUGCAGUCUAGCUGCUCAGCUAUAGCAUUAAUGCUGCACAGGGUGUGCAAAAAUUCACAAGAACGUUACUGGAACUGGAGAGAUCAGAAGCACGGAGAGGAUGGAUAGGCUGUGACAGAUUUCCCUGGAGUACAGGAGGAUGAGAUUUGUGAAAUGAUGAAGAGCAUGGAGAAGCUGAGUGAUUUCCUCUUUUCCCCCAGAGCAGGUGAGUCCAGAACCAAGGGCAUAGAUAGAGGGCAAGAGGGGAAAGAUUUAAAAGGAACAAGGGUUCCUCUUCACACAGAGGGUGGUGAGAAUAUGCCAGGCAGGUAAAAUCAUGAGGUUUAAAAGACAUUUGGACAAGUACGUGGAUAGGAUAGGUUUAGAGGGACAAGGACCAAAUGCAGAUAAAUAGGACUGCCUCAGCUAGAAUACUUCAAUACAACAGACUGUAUGUAAAGCUAGGCUGCUCUCGGAGUAUUGCAUUCAGUUCUGGUUGCCCCAUUGCAUGAUGAACGUGGGGAGGGUGCCAGUGCAGAAGUAGUUCACCAGGAUGCUGCUGGGUUGGAGGGUAUGAGUUAUAAGGAGGUGGGACUAAUUUGGGCUGUUUUCUCUGAAGCAUCAGGGGCUGAGUUUAUACAAUUAUGAGAGGCACGGAUGGGGUAGACAGUCAAGAUCUUCUUCCCUGGUUAGAAAUGCCAGAUACUAGAAACCAUAGCUUUAAGCUGAAAGGAGGAAAGUUUAAACUGGGAUGUGCAGUGUAAGAUUUUUUACACAGUGAGCGGUGUGUUCCUGGACCACAUUGCCAGGGCUGGUGGUGGUGGGAGCAGAUACCAAGAGGCUGGAAGACAGACACGUGAAUGAGCAGGGAAUGGAUGGAGGGGGAUCAUGUGCAGGAGGAAGGGAUUUAGUUUAAUUUGGCAAGGUGUUUGGCACUGACGUUGUGCGCCGAAUAGCUAGUUCCUGCACUGUAGUGAUGGCUGUCUAUGAUUGCCACGGCCUGGGCCGAAGGGGCAGACCCUGUGCUGUGUGACUCUGUGACGGAGUGGAUGGGGCCACUGUAUGAGGAGCAUCAUAAGGUCUACUCACACCAGACUGCAAGUCCAUGGACCCGGGGCCUCCAUAUCCAGCCAAGCCCUCCACGCGGCCGUGUGACCCGCUGGCCGCCAAUGGAUGAGGCCUACCCCGCUUCCAACUUCAGUGGGCUCUCCGCCCCUACCGCAGACCCUCCCAAAAACACAAAGGUGGAAGGGGCGCCACAGAUAGCCAGCGAGUCGAGCAGCGUCUGUGGGAAGGGAUCUGAAGAGUAGAAUCUUUCUCCAGAGAAGUUGUCCUCCACACCCCCCUUCCCCCGUUCCAGGGAUCUUCUCGGAGGCGCGGCGUCUGCAGAGGAGUCUGGACUUAACGCUGGUGACAGGUACACCCUUCGCCCAUGGGUCCUGUCACCCCCCCCAGCGUGUGACGGGACAAGAUUUCCAGCAUAUAUAGUCUCCCUUGCAUCUCUGCUGGGCUACAGCCCUCAUCACAGCCUAGGUCCAAACGUGAAUCAACAAGCAGAACUCCAGAGGGGAGGGUGAUUUGAGGCUCUAUUGAGGUCCUGAUCUGCAAGUGGCACUCAAACUGCUUUUUUUUUUACGGCGGAUGAGUUCCUGUUCCUGAAGCUCACCAGCUGACCAUCUUCCAACAUCCUGCAGGCAUGGCUUAGAAGAUGGUGCCUCUGGGGUUGGGCCUGUGUGACCCUGUGGAUGACUGAUUCCCGGUCGGUGUUAGUGACUGAAGCAUCGUGAGAGAAGGAACAUCAGGUUUUCAUUGCAGCGGAUGUAUGAAUGGAGGUCUCUAUAGUCCAACAGUCACAUACUCGCAUUCUCUCAGUGGGGGAGAGCAUUUGCUGCCAAUUUUCGGGCUGGAAAUCUCAGAGUAUAAAGCAACGCAGCAGACUAACAGUGAAUGUCAGUCUCCCCUUUCACUGUGAGAAAUGGGUAAUGUCUCUUUGUCCCUUGUUAGUGAGAGGAAGAACCUGUGGCAUGUUGAAAUGUUGGGUAAAUUAUAGCCUUUUUUGACUGCAGAUCAUGGUCUCUUUUUGGGUGCUUGCUGUUGCUUGGCGGCUGGUGGGUGCCGAGGAUUUUGCUGAAAUGUAUGGGAGAGGUUGAGGUUGACGGUUGCUGCGGCUCGCAUGGGGAGAUGGGAGGGGGCUUUGGGGUUCCA
Long non-coding RNA from Mobula hypostoma (lesser devil ray), 2351 nucleotides. RefSeq lists it as uncharacterized. Lineage: Eukaryota; Metazoa; Chordata; Chondrichthyes; Myliobatiformes; Myliobatidae. The transcript has 3 exons. The record is from RefSeq and is a predicted model, not a curated record.